GGGCGGGAGGGGGUCAGAGUUGGGUGAUGAAAUGUCUCCAAGGUUUAGGGUGUGCCGUGCCCCAAGGCUCCUCUGCCUCCCUAAAGACUGCAGGACCAGCGAGGGGGUGGGAGAAGUCUCACUUGCCCCAACCCAGCAAGCCCCUGGGUCCCAGGCGGCUAGAGGCUGGGGAAAAACAUGGAGCUGCGAGCUGCAUUCUGCCUAUUGUGUACUCAGCCUGGUUGGAUCUCGCCUAUGUCAAAGGAAGGAAGAGCAGGAUCCUGGACUCCUGCUCUGUUUGGAGCAAUGGGGUGUAUGACAGCUGCCUGCGAGGACUUCUGGGGAAGUUUUCCACCUUGAUAGGAGAAAUGUGUUCAUUUCCCAGUCCACAGGGACUCGGAUCAUACAGAGGCUAA
RNAcentral lists this long non-coding RNA (395 nucleotides) under Cricetulus griseus (Chinese hamster). RNAcentral's name for it is "lncRNA (ENSCGRG00000025839.1)". Lineage: Eukaryota; Metazoa; Chordata; Mammalia; Rodentia; Cricetidae. The record is from RNAcentral.